RNAcentral lists this ribosomal RNA (454 nucleotides) under uncultured bacterium. Its description in RNAcentral is "bacterial SSU rRNA". It matches the Rfam family "Bacterial small subunit ribosomal RNA", at positions 335 to 800 of the family's 1533-position model. The record is from RNAcentral.
ACUCCUACGGGAGGCAGCAGUGGGGAAUAUUGCACAAUGGGCGAAAGCCUGAUGCAGCGACGCCGCGUGAGGGAUGACGGCCUUCGGGUUGCAAACCUCUUUCAGCAGGGAAGAAGCGAAAGUGACGGUACCUGCAGAAGAAGCACCGGCUAACUACGUGCCAGCAGCCGCGGUAAUACGUAGGGUGCGAGCGUUGUCCGGAAUUAUUGGGCGUAAAGAGCUUGUAGGCGGUCUGUCGCGUCUGCUGUGAAAAUCCGGGGCUCAACCCCGGACCUGCAGUGGGUACGGGCAGACUAGAGUGUGGUAGGGGAGACUGGAAUUCCUGGUGUAGCGGUGAAAUGCGCAGAUAUCAGGAGGAACACCGAUGGCGAAGGCAGGUCUCUGGGCCACUACUGACGCUGAGAAGCGAAAGCGUGGGGAGCGAACAGGAUUAGAUACCCUGGUAGCUCGAUGU